AGAUGGAAAUGCGGAAAUCACCGUCUUCUGUGUCGCUCAGGCUGGGAGCUGUAGACCGGAGCUGUUCCUAUUCGGCCAUCUUGGCUCCUCUCCCUCUUUAAAGUGAUUGCUCACUGAUGCCUUAUCUAGUUCUCUUGGUGAGGUCAUGUUUUCCUGGAUGGUCUUGGUGUUUGUGGAUGUUCAUCAAUGUCAGGGCAUUGAGAAGUUAGAAUGUGAUUUUGAAGAAAGGAGGAAAGAUGUGAAAAGUGAUUGGUCAGCCACAUUCAUGGUGUUGAGAAAAGAAUUUGCUUUUCUGGAACAUAGCCUGUGAUAGCAGAACAACACCUGGCAAGAAACAGGUUAUGUUUGGCUGGAGAGUCAUUGGCACUAUCAAGAAAUAUUAAAGUGUAGAUUUGAGAGAGGAGGAGAAAGACCCAAGCAAAAUUGAAAACCAGGUGGGACCCAGACAGCAGCAAAGCAAUGGAAGCAUGUAUUUUGGUCAAUAUAGAGUUAAUACACAAUUUUGCCCCUCUUCUUCUGAUCAUGGGACUCAUAUUACCAGUCUUCACAUUUCCUUUAAAUUCAGGAAUCAGGAAGAAUUUCCAGAGUUUGCAGAUGGACACAUUUGCUGCUUCCAUUCUAAACAUAAGUUAGAAGAACCUUUCAACUGGAUUCCAACUUUAAUAUGUCACAAACAUAAAAAAGAAAGCUAUUUCCUGGACUUUUCUUCAUUAGAAAUUAAUAGAUUGUCAAUUGGCAUAGGGAAAAGAUAAUCAACAGAUGCCAACCCCAAGUUAACAGAAAUGCUAAAAUUAUAAGACAAAGACUUCAAAAUAGCUAUUUUAAUUUUGCCUAGUGAGGUAAAUGCAAACAUGCUCACUAUGAAUGAAAACAGGUAAUCUCAGCAGUCAUGUAAACUAUAAAAAUAAGCAAAUAUAAAUUUUAGAAUUAAAACACAAUAUCUAAAAAUAAAUUCACCUGAUAUUCUCAAUAGAAAAAAUGGUAAUGCAGAGAAAAAUGUAUGAAAAUAUGGCAAUUUGAAGAAGAGAGAAGAGAUCAAUAAAAUAAAUAAGUAUAUCCUUGGAGACCUGUGGAUGUUUUUUGAAAAGUGAAUCAUGUAAGUAAUUGAAGUCCCAGAAGAAAAGAAAAGAAGAGGAUGAGCAGAAAAAAAUUUCUGAAAAAAUA
Molecule: long non-coding RNA, 1164 nt
Filed under: Homo sapiens (human)
Lineage: Eukaryota; Metazoa; Chordata; Mammalia; Primates; Hominidae
Description: non-protein coding CASC9:10
Source: RNAcentral